AAAUAUUUAAACUCAAUAAAAUGUGUAAAGUAGUAAUCUUUGCUUUUUUGAUGGCAAUGGUGGUUGCUGCGAUGUCUCUUCCAGUCACAGUUCCUGAGAGCGAAGUCCUUCAAGAAGAUGGAUUAGUGCUACAAGACGAGAUCCCUCAAGAAGAUGGUUCAGUUCAACCCCGAUUGACUUGCCAACUCGGAGGCAACGCUCUCUGCACCACACACUGCUUGAUGCUAGGCUACAAGCGCGGCGUCUGUGGUAGAGACAAAGUCUGUCGCUGCUAUAGGAGUUAAAUUUUAUAAUCUCAUCAUUAUCAUCAUUGAUAUUCAUUUAUUAUAAGAACAUGUUUCACCACUUGCAAAUUAUGAGACUUUAUUGUCAUGUUUCUUUUAUGUCACUAUCCUAUUUCCUUUCUGUAUUCAACUUCAUCUUCAACAUUUUCAUCUUCUGAUAUUUGUGUUGUAAUUAGUUUAAGUCUCCAAGCGAUCAAUAAAGCUUAAUUCAUUAAAAUUUUCUUUAGUAAUUUUGAACUACCUC
Molecule: unclassified non-coding RNA, 528 nt
Filed under: Pectinophora gossypiella (pink bollworm)
Lineage: Eukaryota; Metazoa; Arthropoda; Insecta; Lepidoptera; Gelechiidae
Description: g protein-activated inward rectifier potassium channel 4-like
Source: RNAcentral